This 75-nucleotide transfer RNA is filed under the name Hyphomonas sp. Its description in RNAcentral is "tRNA-Thr". It matches the Rfam family "tRNA". From Rfam's summary of the family: Transfer RNA (tRNA) molecules are approximately 80 nucleotides in length. Their secondary structure includes four short double-helical elements and three loops (D, anti-codon, and T loops). The record is from RNAcentral. Lineage: Bacteria; Pseudomonadati; Pseudomonadota; Alphaproteobacteria; Hyphomonadales; Hyphomonadaceae. RNAcentral also lists the same sequence under 5 other names.
GCCGCGGUAGCUCAGUGGUAGAGCGCAUCAUUGGUAAUGAUGAGGCCGAGAGUUCAAUUCUCUCUCGCGGCACCA